Rhizobiales bacterium TMED29 is the source of this 93-nucleotide non-coding RNA. NCBI's taxonomy places the organism in Bacteria, Pseudomonadati, Pseudomonadota, Alphaproteobacteria, Hyphomicrobiales. The record is from Rfam.
ACNNGCGCUACGGGAGACGCUGUCUUUUUAAGGCAGGGCCGAAGGAGCAACCGCCCUCGGAAACUCUCAGGCAAAAUGGACCGUAGCCGGUUA